UGCGCAGGCGGUUCGGAAAGAAAGAUGUGAAAUCCCAGAGCUUAACUUUGGAAUGGCAUUUUUAACUACCGGGCUAGAGUAUGUCAGAGGGGGGUAGAAUUCCACGUGUAGCAGUGAAAUGCGUAGAGAUGUGGAGGAAUACCGAUGGCGAAGGCAGCCCCCUGGGAUGAUACUGACGCUCAUGCACGAAAGCGUGGGGAGCAAACA
This 207-nucleotide ribosomal RNA is filed under the name uncultured Alcaligenaceae bacterium. RNAcentral describes it as "partial 16S ribosomal RNA". It matches the Rfam family "Bacterial small subunit ribosomal RNA", at positions 568 to 774 of the family's 1533-position model. The record is from RNAcentral. Lineage: Bacteria; Pseudomonadati; Pseudomonadota; Betaproteobacteria; Burkholderiales; Alcaligenaceae.